UACAGGAACACUAGGAAAGCCUAAAGCCCCUUGAUAAAGGAAAGCCACACGCACGGUGCCCACGCGCUCCCGUGUUCACGCUCAAAACGAUCGCGACCCUUCGGUUUCUGGUGGGCAGAGCCCAUGUUCGAGAAUCCACUGCGGGGCACCUACAGAGGCAGCGCCGACACUGAAGUGCCACUUCGCACUUAGCAGCUGUCAAGAAUCACCGAUUUUCUGCACGGAUGCACGAUGGGCUCGGAGCCACCAAGCUUGUGGAGUUACUGCUCCUCAUUGAACCACCUCUGUCCCAAGCUGAUGCCGGUCACCAAGAUCCACGCCGACCUGCGGUGGCCGACAACACCCUUUACCGCGAGGAGCCUGUUCUACAAGUUUGGCUGCUUGCAGGGUUCGGGGUCAUCUGCUGACGGCGUCUGUGACGUCGUCGCGCCGCUGUCAACAUGGAACGAAGCCCUCGUCUUCAUGGACGUGGAACUGCGCGAGGGUCCUCCCGGUCAGCUCUCUUUACUGUGCCUCCGUAGCAUUCAUGGAUCUUCUGGCGUGGAAGCGCGCGAGCGCCAUGCGACCGUCCUGGUUCACUGGCUCCUCACCGUCCACCGCUGUGACACAAGCGUUCUUGACAGAGUGCGGCACUACUUGCGAGUAUCGUUGCGAAUAGCGAAACUAUCUGGCACUUUCAGUACGAAGCUUACUGCGUUGCUUCGUGCCGGCUCCUGCUUAUUUACCUUGCCAAGUGCCUCCCAUCUAACACUUCUCUGGUGUCACUGGAGGUCAGCGAAUAUCACGCAGUCGUAAGCACGUAAAGGACUUCGUCAGACCCAACGCAGAUCUUAUUGACUGCGCCGCCCACUUGGUUCUCGGCACGAAGGACAAACACUUCGCGAAGGCCUUCGAACGUGUUGCCAGUGGCCGUGGAAUAGUGACCAGAGUUUAAGAACUGGCCGCCGAGCCAUGCGCUGAUCGAGUCAGAGAAAUGAUACGAGAUACCACACGUCGGCUGCUUGAAAUGAGAUCUUUCAUGGAGAUCACGUGUCAUCAAGAAUGACUUGUCAUGGGACGAGAGCGUCGAACCCCGAGAGCGCUUGGAGAUCUUGCCUUUGGAGUCUGGACUGCUGGCUUCACGUAAGACAGUUUAUCAAGAUUCGCGACGUGCUACAUCGGGUCCCCUUCGCUGGUACGCGAUGCAAGAGGGUGCUCUGGCGAGCUCCAUCGUGUACACGUAUAGGCCCAAGCUGCCUCGGCUGCAAUUGAGAGGGCAUACUUAGUGAAAUCUGCAAGUGUUGCAGGACAUCAGUGAAGUACACAUGUUGUGUUGACAAUUGAUUUGAGACUCCUUUUAAAUAGGGAUAUCUUAUUGAACGAUUAUAAUAUGUUUACUAAGUGACAGAGCCAAAUAAAAUAGCAAAUUCUUUAUA
This is a long non-coding RNA of Dermacentor andersoni, 1415 nucleotides long. RefSeq lists it as uncharacterized. Lineage: Eukaryota; Metazoa; Arthropoda; Arachnida; Ixodida; Ixodidae. The record is from RefSeq and is a predicted model, not a curated record.